AGCAGUCGCCGCGGGAAUACGAAGUGUGCAAGCGUUAAUCGGAAUUACUGGGCGUAAAGCGUGCGUAGGCGGUUUGUUAAGUCUGCUGUGAAAUCCCCGGGCCCAACCUGGGAAUGGCAGUGGAUACUGGCAAGCUAGAGUGUGUCAGAGGAUGGUGGAAUUCCCGGUGUAGCGGUGAAAUGCGUAGAGAUCGGGAGGAACAUCAGUGGCGAAGGCGGCCAUCUGGGACAACACUGACGCUGAGGCACGAAAGCGUGGGGAGCAAACAGGAUUAGAUACCCCUGUAGUCCCUGUCUCUUAUAC
RNAcentral lists this ribosomal RNA (303 nucleotides) under uncultured bacterium. RNAcentral describes it as "partial 16S ribosomal RNA". It matches the Rfam family "Bacterial small subunit ribosomal RNA", at positions 507 to 807 of the family's 1533-position model. The record is from RNAcentral.